RNAcentral lists this long non-coding RNA (668 nucleotides) under Pan troglodytes (chimpanzee). RNAcentral's name for it is "long non-coding RNA NONPTRT013583". The record is from RNAcentral. Lineage: Eukaryota; Metazoa; Chordata; Mammalia; Primates; Hominidae.
AUGGAUAAUCUUUGGGGUACAUUUAUUUAUGUUAUUUAUGUUAUUCAGCUCUACUGAAUGAAAUGGUUCAUGGACCUCAUUGGCUAAUCAACUGAAGCUGAGGGAGUGAAAAAAGAACAAAGAAAUCUGUGACUGCUUGUGAUCAAUUAGUAAACUUAAUUUUUUAGAUUAAAAUGAAAUAAUACAUGCAAAGCCCUUGGCACAGUGCCUUGCACAUAAUACAUUUCGGGGUUAAGUUGUGCUAGCUAUUCUGUUAUUGAUUGUCUUGCCCUUUGUUCUCUGGAAGGUUGGAUCUUGCCAUUUGGGGAUGGCCAAUGGGAAGGCUGAGCAAGACAUCAGAGGGUGGGAGGAAAGGAGGUAUAUUUAUUUUCCUUACUCCUUCUCUGCUGGGCUUCAAUUUUGUCACUAGCUGCAUUCCUUUUUAUGACCACAACUCCAGUCUAAUGGCCACCCUCCCAUAACUAGAGUUCAUAAUCAAACUAACACUGCCACCUCCUCAGGCCUAGGAAUGGUCAUGGUUUUUCUUCUCACCUUGCUUCAGGUUCUUUUUUCCCCACUGUUGCUUGCGCUAGAUGCUCCACCCUCUUUUCUUGUUCCUUUAAGGCCUCUCUAAACUGUCACUUUAUGAAACUGUCUUCAGUUAAAUCCUUUAUAUGUGACAUCAGUUU